GUCAAACUAGAAUACGAAGACAGAAUCUCUUCAUCGGAAUCCAUCGCAAUUCAAAUUCAAAGAAAUAGUAAUUAAUAAUCUCAACCCCCAUCCCUGAGCAUUUAAAUACGAUGUUUAUAGAGAGG
Molecule: non-coding RNA, 125 nt
Organism: Caenorhabditis elegans
Lineage: Eukaryota; Metazoa; Nematoda; Chromadorea; Rhabditida; Rhabditidae
Source: Ensembl